UUUCCGUAGGUGAACCUGCGGAAGGAUCAUUACCGAGUUCCUGCCCUCACGGGUAGAUCUCCCACCCUUGCUUAUCUACCACGUUGCCUUGGCAGGCCGCCUCCCCGGAGCCGCUGGCGCAAGCUAGUGAGUGCCUGCCAGAGGACCCAUUAUAACCCUGUGUCAUUUGCGUCGUCCGAGUAAGAUAGAAAUCUUUAAAACUUUCAACAACGGAUCUCUUGGUUCUGGCAUCGAUGAAGAACGCAGC
This 247-nucleotide unclassified non-coding RNA is filed under the name uncultured fungus. RNAcentral's name for it is "sequence contains ITS1, 5.8S rRNA gene". The stretch from base 199 to 247 matches the Rfam family "5.8S ribosomal RNA", at positions 1 to 49 of the family's 154-position model. The record is from RNAcentral. Lineage: Eukaryota; Fungi.